Molecule: small nucleolar RNA, 136 nt
Organism: Gasterosteus aculeatus aculeatus (three-spined stickleback)
Lineage: Eukaryota; Metazoa; Chordata; Actinopteri; Perciformes; Gasterosteidae
Source: Ensembl
GCAUGGCCGAAUUCUGGUUUACUCUUGAAAUGGUAAAUGCAGUCAGACACUAUGCCAAAUUAUUGUUUUCACACACUGACUCAACAGAAUAAGUGCAAAUGAUGUGCCUUAUUCUUAUGUCAUAGUGAAUACAGAA